This is an RNA transcript of Heterocephalus glaber (naked mole-rat), 1454 nucleotides long. RefSeq lists it as uncharacterized. The record is from RefSeq and is a predicted model, not a curated record. NCBI's taxonomy places the organism in Eukaryota, Metazoa, Chordata, Mammalia, Rodentia, Bathyergidae.
UUUAAUGAGCUUUUAAUGGAAUGCAAUGCUCAGAGUAGUAAAUUAUUUGUUAGUUGACGAUGCAAUCAGCAUGCUGAUUAAGGUUGCUUGGUUUUUUACUAAACAUUAACUGAAUGAAAACGGGUAGCCCUUGUUCUGCUUGGGGGGCUUUAAGGAAGCAAAUGGACUUUCAGAACAGAGAUUGUCAAUAAAGUGUAUGGAGCCCAGUGUUUGGCUGAAAGGAGAAGGCAGCAGCCAGAAGCAACCGAAAGGACCAGGAAGGAAACCUGCCCCAGUCUCACGGGCUUCUUUGCUGGCCACACCUGCCAUUCGUUAUAUGGAUACGAUGUGUUUAACACUGACUUAAAAAAGAGCUGUCACACUUCUGAAAACUCUAAGAUAAGCCAAACUCUUUCCUUUAGACCAUAUCCUCCGCCGUGCUGGCCCGGAAGAAGGAAUGAAGUGAGAAAUAUGUGAUGCAUGGUACAACCGAACAGAAGGAGGCCUUUUCAAAGACACCGACCUGUGAGGGACCUGGUUGUGGCUGCAUCCACUCCAGGAACCAGAAUACACUCUGCGGAUAUGGUGGACUCUACCUGAUUUAGUCAUUUUUCCUUAACAACACCUAAAGACAAUGCUUAAGACACUUAAUCCGAAAGCAAGCAAAACAACAUGGCAAAUGGAGCCCGAUGGUGCAGCCAGAGGAACCCUGAGGCUGGAGUUCUGGGGCUCAGGGUGUGAUACUCAGAAAAAUAAUUUGCCUCUCUGCAUUUCAACAUGUGUUCCUAAGUGGAGAGCUAAGCUUUCUGAGACUACACAUAUGCAUGCAAGAGCACUGCAUCUAUCCUCUAGACAGAAGUCUUUAACAUCACUCUGUCAAAGGGUGUUUUAUCUCAGCAAUGAGAGAAAAGUACCCAAGACACAUGGCCUAGAAGAAAAAAUUUUUUCAAGACUCAAGAAGUCUGAGGAUGGAUAAUCCAGAAUGGAUUUUUACUGAAUGAGAAAGCAAUAUUGCAAAUAUUGCUAUUAAUUCAAACACAUGGCACAGGAGUCAUGAAUACCACAGUAAGCACCUAUAGGGGGCGUUCAUUAUUUCUUUAUUAGUGCAUGUUUGUGGUAUAUAAUGUUUACAUUAUUUGUGGGGAAUUGGUACAUGUUCACAAUAGAUCUUAGUUCCGUUUUAAAUCUCCUUUCCCAUCAUCCUUUCUUUCCCCUCUAUGCAUCUCUGGCCAUUAGAGAAAUGCAAAGUAAAACAGCACUGAGAUUCCAUCUUAACCCAGAAAGAAUGGCUACCAUCAAGAAAUCAGAUAAUAACUAAUGCUGGCAGGGAUGUGGGGGGAAAGGGAGCUACCUACAUUAUUGAUUGGAAUGUAAACUAAUACAACCACUUUGGAAAUCAGUAUAGAGAUUCCUAAAAAAUCUGAAACUAGAAACUCCAUUUGACCAAGCUGUUCUCCUAAGUAUCUUCCUGAAAG